UUGGAUUAAAAAAAGUCACAUAAAUUGCUGCUGGAGUAGGUUUCAGUGCUAACUCUUUUGGUACAGAUUUGGUGUAGCUUUCAAUUUUAAUUUCAAUGUAGUGCUGGCUGAAAUUGGCAAAUAAAUUGAAUACAAAGUGGUGUCCCUGGUUGUUUGAAAGCUGAAGCAUGAAAAUUAUAGUGAGCAGGAGAGUUAAACAAGCAAAAUGCUGUCAAUUCUGAUUUUGCUAUUCGUG
This 235-nucleotide long non-coding RNA is filed under the name Phaseolus vulgaris (common bean). Its description in RNAcentral is "long non-coding RNA (PVUL_LNC005020)". Lineage: Eukaryota; Viridiplantae; Streptophyta; Magnoliopsida; Fabales; Fabaceae. The record is from RNAcentral.